GUGCUUCGGCAGCACAUAUACUAAAAACGGAACGAUACAGAGAAGAUUAGCAUGGCCCCUGCAAAAGGAACUUUUCAAAACUCAGAGUUAGAGGAAUUAGAA
Sceloporus undulatus (fence lizard) is the source of this 102-nucleotide small nuclear RNA. Lineage: Eukaryota; Metazoa; Chordata; Lepidosauria; Squamata; Phrynosomatidae. The record is from RefSeq and is a predicted model, not a curated record.